UCGUUUCGCACCUUCGGGGUGAGCGGCGGACGGGUGAGUAACGCGUGGGAAUAUGCCCUUUGGUACGGAAUAGUCCUGGGAAACUGGGGGUAAUACCGUAUGCGCCCUUCGGGGGAAAGAUUUAUCGCCAAAGGAUUAGCCCGCGUUGGAUUAGGUAGUUGGUGGGGUAAUGGCCUACCAAGCCGACGAUCCAUAGCUGGUUUGAGAGGAUGAUCAGCCACACUGGGACUGAGACACGGCCCAGACUCCUACGGGAGGCAGCAGUGGGGAAUCUUAGACAAUGGGGGCAACCCUGAUCUAGCCAUGCCGCGUGAGUGAUGAAGGCCCUAGGGUUGUAAAGCUCUUUCAGCUGGGAAGAUAAUGACGGUACCAGCAGAAGAAGCCCCGGCUAACUCCGUGCCAGCAGCCGCGGUAAUACGGAGGGGGCUAGCGUUGUUCGGAAUUACUGGGCGUAAAGCGCACGUAGGCGGACCGGAAAGUUGGGGGUGAAAUCCCGGGGCUCAACCCCGGAACUGCCUUCAAAACUAUCGGUCUGGAU
RNAcentral lists this ribosomal RNA (538 nucleotides) under Paracoccus sp. C24.2. RNAcentral describes it as "bacterial SSU rRNA". It matches the Rfam family "Bacterial small subunit ribosomal RNA", at positions 68 to 646 of the family's 1533-position model. Lineage: Bacteria; Pseudomonadati; Pseudomonadota; Alphaproteobacteria; Rhodobacterales; Paracoccaceae. The record is from RNAcentral.